RNAcentral lists this ribosomal RNA (440 nucleotides) under uncultured bacterium. RNAcentral describes it as "bacterial SSU rRNA". It matches the Rfam family "Bacterial small subunit ribosomal RNA", at positions 958 to 1397 of the family's 1533-position model. The record is from RNAcentral.
AACGCGAAGAACCUUACCAGGUCUUGACAUCCUCUGACAAUCCUAGAGAUAGGACUUUCCCCUUCGGGGGACAGAGUGACAGGUGGUGCAUGGUUGUCGUCAGCUCGUGUCGUGAGAUGUUGGGUUAAGUCCCGCAACGAGCGCAACCCUUGUCCUUAGUUGCCAGCAUUCAGUUGGGCACUCUAAGGAGACUGCCGGUGACAAACCGGAGGAAGGUGGGGAUGACGUCAAAUCAUCAUGCCCCUUAUGACCUGGGCUACACACGUGCUACAAUGGAUGGUACAAAGGGCUGCAAGACCGCGAGGUUUAGCCAAUCCCAUAAAACCAUUCUCAGUUCGGAUUGUAGGCUGCAACUCGCCUACAUGAAGCCGGAAUCGCUAGUAAUCGUGGAUCAGCAUGCCACGGUGAAUACGUUCCCGGGCCUUGUACACACCGAUAGC